RNAcentral lists this transfer RNA (72 nucleotides) under Camelus bactrianus (Bactrian camel). It matches the Rfam family "tRNA". From Rfam's summary of the family: Transfer RNA (tRNA) molecules are approximately 80 nucleotides in length. Their secondary structure includes four short double-helical elements and three loops (D, anti-codon, and T loops). RNAcentral also lists the same sequence under 2 other names. Lineage: Eukaryota; Metazoa; Chordata; Mammalia; Artiodactyla; Camelidae. The record is from Rfam by way of RNAcentral.
GUGGGUAUAACUCAGUGGUAGAGCAUAUGUUUAGUGUGUACAAGGUCCUGGGUUCAAACCCCAGGACCUCCA